CAAACAUUUUUACACAAGGUGCAAGAGGAAGGAAUUAAAGUGUUUUAUAUGUGUAAAAGAAAAUCGCAGAAUUUUACCAAAGUUAAAGGCAACAAAGUCAACGUGUUUCAAAAAAGCAAUAACCGAAUAUACAAAAUGGUGCGAA
Long non-coding RNA from Hydractinia symbiolongicarpus, 145 nucleotides. RefSeq lists it as uncharacterized. The record is from RefSeq and is a predicted model, not a curated record. Lineage: Eukaryota; Metazoa; Cnidaria; Hydrozoa; Anthoathecata; Hydractiniidae. The transcript has 3 exons.